Molecule: transfer RNA, 82 nt
Filed under: Patescibacteria group bacterium
Lineage: Bacteria
Also listed under: 1 other name
Description: tRNA-Leu
Rfam family: tRNA
About the family: Transfer RNA (tRNA) molecules are approximately 80 nucleotides in length. Their secondary structure includes four short double-helical elements and three loops (D, anti-codon, and T loops).
Source: RNAcentral
GCCGAGGUGGCGGAAUUGGUAGACGCGCACGCUUGAGGGGCGUGUAUUGAAAGAUGUGCAGGUUCAACUCCUGUCCUCGGCA